Clupea harengus (Atlantic herring) is the source of this 418-nucleotide long non-coding RNA. RefSeq lists it as uncharacterized. Lineage: Eukaryota; Metazoa; Chordata; Actinopteri; Clupeiformes; Clupeidae. The record is from RefSeq and is a predicted model, not a curated record.
UCAUGUAUAAAAGCAGGUGCAACCAGGUCACAGGCAGACAUUUUCCUCAAUUCUCACUCGAAAGCAUCAACACCCCAAAGAGAAGCCAUGAAGCCAGUGAUCGUGCUGUACGUUGCGCUGAUGAUGAUUGCACUGGUGUGCAAUGCUUAUGCUGCAUGUGAGAAUGGAUGGUGUACCAAGAGAUGUGGUCGUAAUGAAUAUAGAGACCGCAAUUCAUACUGUGGGGGUGGAAAUAUAUGCUGUGUUGAAAAAGGCAAUUGAAGAACAUCCGUGAAGGAAGACUGUGUGGAUCAACCAACAUGCAUUGUUGUUUUUUUUUCUUCUUCCAUUUAAGUUGACACAAGACAUGGAGUAAUCAUGAUUUGUGUUUAAGCCUGUUUGAUGCCAGUUUGAAUAAAAUUAAAUUUCAUAACUAUGA